ACGAACGCUGGCGGUGUGCUUCACACAUGCCAGUCGAACGGUAAGGCCCUUUCGGGGGUACACGAGUGGCGAACGGGUGAGUAACACGUGAGUAACCUGCCCUCAUCUCUGGGAUAACAGUCGGAAACGGUUGCUAAUACUGGAUAUGAGCUUGCAAGGCAUCUUGUGGGUUGGAAAGAUUUUUUUUGGUUGGGGAUGGACUCGCGGCCUAUCAGCUUGUUGGUGAGGUAGUGGCUCACCAAGACUUCGACGGGUAGCCGGCCUGAGAGGGCGACCGGCCACAUUGGGACUGAGAUACGGCCCAAACUCCUACGGGAGGCAGCAGUGGGGAAUAUUGCACAAUGGACGGAAGUCUGAUGCAGCAACGCCGCGUGCGGGAUGACGGCCUUCGGGUUGUAAACCGCUUUCAAUUGUGACGAAGCUUUUUUGUGACGGUAGCAGUAGAAGAAGCACCGGCUAACUACGUG
Molecule: ribosomal RNA, 467 nt
Filed under: uncultured bacterium
Lineage: Bacteria
Description: partial 16S ribosomal RNA
Rfam family: Bacterial small subunit ribosomal RNA
Source: RNAcentral